UACGUGUAAGGCAAGCGUUAGGCGGAAUCACUGGGCUUAAAGCGUGUGUAGGCGGGCCCGUAAGUGUCUUGUGAAAUCCCACGGCUCAACCGUGGAACUGCUGGGCAUACUGCGGGUCUUGGGCCAACUAGGGGCAGCCGGAACAAGCGGUGGAGCGGUGAAAUGCGUAGAUAUCAUUUGGAACGCCAAUGGUGAAAACAGGUUGCUGGGGGUGUGCUGACGCUGAGACACGAAAGCCAGGGGAGCGAACGGG
RNAcentral lists this ribosomal RNA (253 nucleotides) under uncultured bacterium. RNAcentral's name for it is "partial 16S ribosomal RNA". It matches the Rfam family "Bacterial small subunit ribosomal RNA", at positions 524 to 776 of the family's 1533-position model. The record is from RNAcentral.